ACCGCCCGUCACACCAUGGGAGUUGGUUUCACCCGAAGGCAGUGCGCUAACCCGCAAGGGAGGCAGCUGACCACGGUGGGAUCAGCGACCGGGGUG
Molecule: ribosomal RNA, 96 nt
Filed under: uncultured bacterium
Lineage: Bacteria
Description: partial 16S ribosomal RNA
Rfam family: Bacterial small subunit ribosomal RNA
Source: RNAcentral